RNAcentral lists this ribosomal RNA (468 nucleotides) under uncultured bacterium. RNAcentral describes it as "partial 16S ribosomal RNA". It matches the Rfam family "Bacterial small subunit ribosomal RNA", at positions 28 to 507 of the family's 1533-position model. The record is from RNAcentral.
GACGAACGCUGGCGGCGUGCUUAACACAUGCAAGUCGAACGGUGAUGCUCCAGCUUGCUGGAGUGGAUCAGUGGCGAACGGGUGAGUAACACGUGAGCAACCUGCCCCAGACUCUGGAAUAAGCGCUGGAAACGGCGUCUAAUACUGGAUACGAAACUGGCCCGCAUGGGCAUGGUUUGGAAAGUUUUUCGGUUUGGGAUGGGCUCGCGGCCUAUCAGCUUGUUGGUGAGGUAAUGGCUCACCAAGGCGACGACGGGUAGCCGGCCUGAGAGGGCGACCGGCCACACUGGGACUGAGACACGGCCCAGACUCCUACGGGAGGCAGCAGUGGGGAAGAUUGCACAAUGGGCGAAAGCCUGAUGCAGCGACGCCGCGUGAGGGAUGACGGCCUUCGGGUUGUAAACCUCUUUCAGCAGGGAAGAAGCGAAAGUGACGGUACCUGCAGAAGAAGCACCGGCUAACUACGUG